Molecule: RNA transcript, 2415 nt
Organism: Triticum aestivum (bread wheat)
Lineage: Eukaryota; Viridiplantae; Streptophyta; Magnoliopsida; Poales; Poaceae
Gene name: protein argonaute MEL1
Exons: 6
Source: RefSeq, a predicted model, not a curated record
UUCCCCUCGCUCUCUUCUCCUUCCUCUCUCUGUCCGCGCAUGCCAUGGCCGCACGCACACCCCUCUGAUGCCCGCGCGAGCCCCUCUUCCAUGGCCGCGAGCCCCUCCUCCGAGACCGACUGGCCGCUAUGACCAUUGCCACCUCCAUAGCGAAUCGCAGGCGAUGGGUGGCCAACGCUCCCAGAUCUCUCCGACCUCGAUCCACCGCCAGAUCGAGCAGGCACUCCAAGACUGGCGACGGUCAUGCCCACGCCGAGCCCUAGCCUGAGUCCCCUUCCUGCUCGAUGGCAAACCCCUCCAUGGCGGCCGACGGCGGGGUGCCGUGGGCGGAGCGGGAUGUAGCCGGGCCCCUCAAAUCUCCGGCGGGAGAGCUCGUGCUGUUCCGGCGGCCGCUAGUGAAAAAUGGAUGAUGCUGGCAUGGUGUUCCUUCUCGAUGCUAUUUACAAGUUAGUGCCCUCAGAUCUGCAAAUUAAUUUGACCAUUUGUUCUCCAUGCUAACUUCCGGGGCUUGGUCGCCGACAAGGCCAUCCUUUGCCAGGUUCCCACUGCGAGAGGAGUUCGCCGACAGCCAUAUGCAUCACACCAGGCUAUUCCCUGAGGUUCAUGGGAGGCGUGAUAUGACUGACAAGAGUGGGAACAUACUUCCGGGUUAGCAAAUACACUGGAACUGUGGUUGACCUCAUGAUUUGCCACCCUAUAGAGUUUGAUUUCUACUUGUGCAGCCAUGCUGGCAUUCAGGGAACUAGCAGGCCAACACACUACCAUGUUCUUUAUGAUGAGAAUCACUUCACAGCCGAUGCGCUUCAGUCACUGACCAACAAUCUCUGCUACACCUAUGCUCGUUGCACUCGUGCGGUCUCUGUUGAUGAAGUCAAGGGAACACCUGAUGAGACUUCGGCUAUUGCAACAACAGAAUGCCCACUUGCAGAGAAGGGAUCCAAAUCAACCGGCUCUUAAUGGUGCUAUGAACUCUGGUGUAUCAGUCAACAUGGCAGCCCCGCAGCAGCAGUUUCAGUCAAGAAACCAGCAAGUUUGAGCAAACAUGGCACCAUCCAUGAGUCUUGCAGCGAAAGGUCUGCUCCCCUUUGGAGCGCUCCCCUCGAGCGGCGUCGCGCAGAGGUCGGUGUCCGUGACCGCCUCACUGGAGCACAAGACGAGCGAUUAUAAGAGGAAGCUCCUGAAGCUUGCGCCCGGAGGAGUCGGCCUGCCCGCCUUGUUGAGUGCCAAGAAGGCUUUCGCUGAUGACCAGGGCGUCUUUUCCUCCAGGAUGUCUUACUUGAGCUGGUUGCCUCCCUGGCCUUACUGCUACUGCUGCUGGUUGCUUCCCCGUCCCCUUCCCCUACAGUGCUAUAUUGCAUCACUGAUCUGCACUGUUUGGUGUGUUUCAUUCCUAUUAUUGUUAUGUUCAACCACAUUGCCAGUGUUCAGAAAUAACACCUACUCAUUAUGCAAAUGCAUGCAACAUAAUCUGAAAUUCAUUCAGUUUGACUGUGCGUAAACACUAUAGUGUACAACUAUCAACUUGUUUCACUAUUCAGUUUGUCACCCAUUCAGCUUACUUACUGGGGCAUCUUUCUUGUGAGAGUUUACUUAAUAGUACAAUAUGUUAGAAGAAACUACCAUGUCUCCAGAAUGAAUCAUCGAUCGCUCUUUAUACACUUACAACUUGAUUUCUUUCAUAUAAGUUCCGUUGCCUUUCUUUAGGUUGAGCUACUGCCCUGUUAAUUAUUGUAACAAACAUUAUCAUUUGCCAGUUUGCUCUGUGUUGAGAACUGACCAAUAAGUUUUGUUUGCCAAUUAGCUUUCUAUGUGCAUGCUCUUAAUCCCCAUAGCACUAAGAUAGGACCUUACUGAGCCUCAUAUUACUAAUUUCUGAAUCAAUCAUUAUUAUUUCUGUCCUCAACAAGUCGCAGCGCUAUGUUCUCUUUUUUGUUCAGUUAGCUCUGUCAAAUAUAAUCAACCUGCCUAUGUUCCAUUUUGCUAUUUGUACUUAGGUAGAAAAAGCUAAAAUCUGUACAUGUAAUUUUUUUCUUCUGUAAUGAUGAUUUGAAAUGCCACGCAAGUCAUUAUUGGUGCUGCUGCUGUUGUUGCUGUGGUUGUUGGAGGUGUUGCUGUUGCAUCUGGCGGAGCUGCCGUUGGGGCCCCAAAAGGUAACCUUCAUCAGCCACAACCCCACAACAAUGCCUCAAGGUUCUGUGCCCCAUCACCCCUCUUUCUAAAUUACUGAAAUGAACCAAGAUCUCAUAUAUUUAGGAACAGAGGUAGUAGUAAGGUUAAAAUAGAACAGCAAGGGAUGUUUCUAAUUUGGUUAUGCUAGAAUAAUGCAUCAACUCGUGGUAUUCUUGGAUGUUACUCUAGGUGUCAAAAUGAUAGUAAAACCUAGGCUCUUGCAUGGUUCUUGAAUUAAUUUUUCUA